This 494-nucleotide ribosomal RNA is filed under the name uncultured bacterium. Its description in RNAcentral is "bacterial SSU rRNA". It matches the Rfam family "Bacterial small subunit ribosomal RNA", at positions 903 to 1397 of the family's 1533-position model. The record is from RNAcentral.
AAAUGAAUUGACGGGGGCCCGCACAAGCGGUGGAGCAUGUGGCUUAAUUCGAUGCAACGCGAAGAACCUUACCUGGUCUUGACAUGCAGUGGACCGUCCUUGAAAGGGGACUUCCCUUCGGGGCCGCUGCACAGGUGCUGCAUGGCUGUCGUCAGCUCGUGUCGUGAGAUGUUCGGUUAAGUCCGGCAACGAGCGCAACCCCUGUUCCUAGUUGCCAGCGCGUAAAGGCGGGGACUCUAGGGAGACAAACCUGUUUUACAGGUGGGAAGGUGGGGACGACGUCAAGUCAGUAUGGCCCUUACGGCCAGGGCUGCACACGUGCUACAAUGUCCGGUACAAAAGGAAGCGAAGUCGCGAGGCGGAGCAAAUCCUCAAAACCGGGCCCAGUUCGGAUUGGAGUCUGCAACUCGACUCCAUGAAGUCGGAAUCGCUAGUAAUGCUGCAUCAGCAACGGCAGCGUGAAUACGUUCCCGGGCCUUGUACACACCGCCCGU